Molecule: non-coding RNA, 91 nt
Organism: Hypoxylon trugodes
Lineage: Eukaryota; Fungi; Ascomycota; Sordariomycetes; Xylariales; Hypoxylaceae
Source: the annotation of a RefSeq genome assembly
UCCGAAUUGGUGUAGUGGCUAACAUUUGGUGCUCUCAUCUCAUACCCUAGAGUGACCCGCCAAGCCCGGGGUUCGAUUCCCCGAUUCGGAG